CAGGUCUUGACAUCCUUUGAAGCUUUUAGAGAUAGAAGUGUUCUCUUCGGAGACAAAGUGACAGGUGGUGCAUGGUCGUCGUCAGCUCGUGUCGUGAGAUGUUGGGUUAAGUCCCGCAACGAGCGCAACCCUUAUUGUUAGUUGCCAGCAUUCAGUUGGGCACUCUAGCGAGACUGCCGGUGACAAACCGGAGGAAGGCGGGGACGACGUCAGAUCAUCAUGCCCCUUAUGACCUGGGCUACACACGUGCUACAAUGGCGUAUACAACGAGUUGCCAACCUGCGAAGGUGAGCUAAUCUCUUAAAGUACGUCUCAGUUCGGACUGCAGUCUGCAACUCGACUGCACGAAGUCGGAAUCGCUAGUAAUCGCGGAUCAGCACGCCGCGGUGAAUACGUUCCC
This 400-nucleotide ribosomal RNA is filed under the name uncultured bacterium. Its description in RNAcentral is "bacterial SSU rRNA". It matches the Rfam family "Bacterial small subunit ribosomal RNA", at positions 975 to 1375 of the family's 1533-position model. The record is from RNAcentral.